This 235-nucleotide unclassified non-coding RNA is filed under the name uncultured fungus. RNAcentral describes it as "sequence contains ITS1". Lineage: Eukaryota; Fungi. The record is from RNAcentral.
GUAUUUUAUUGCGUUAAACGCGGCAUGCAUUCCAUAAGACUUUGUUACGGUGUGUAUGUAAAGAUGCAGAACCACAGCAGGAGAGGACAGGUCCCCCCCAACCAUAGAACUACAGAGGGUGCACAGGGUGUGAGUGGAUGUGUUAACAGAGCGUGCACAUGCCCCCAUCUGGGGACCAGCAACAACUCUUGUUGACAAUUCGGUAAUGAUCCUUCCGCAGGUUCACCUACGGAAA